Molecule: ribosomal RNA, 460 nt
Filed under: uncultured bacterium
Lineage: Bacteria
Description: partial 16S ribosomal RNA
Rfam family: Bacterial small subunit ribosomal RNA
Source: RNAcentral
CCUACGGGUGGCAGCAGUGAGGAAUAUUGGGCAAUGGACGAGAGUCUGAACCAGCAAAGCAGCGUGAAGGAUGACGGCCCUAUGGGUUGUAAACUUCUUUUAUAUGGGAAUAAAAUGUUCCACGUGUGGGAUUUUGUAUGUACCAUAUGAAUAAGGAUCGGCUAACUCCGUGCCAGCAGCCGCGGUAAUACGGAGGAUCCGAGCGUUAUCCGGAUUUAUUGGGGGUAAAGGGAGCGUAGGUGGAUUGUUAAGUCAGUUGUGAAAGUUUGCGGCUCAACCGUAAAAUUGCAUUUGAAACUGGCAGUCUUGAGUACAGUAGAGGUGGGCGGAAUUCGUGGUGUAGCGGUGAAAUGCUUAGAUAUCACGAAGAACUCCGAUUGCGAAGGCAGUUCACUGGACUGCAACUGACACUGAGGCUCGAAAGUGUGGGUAUCAAACAGGAUUAGAUACCCUUGUAGUC